CCAGGCGCCGAAGAUGAACUCUGCAAUUGGGACUAAGUCGUAACAAGGUAGCCGUAGGGGAACCUGCGGCUGGAUCACCUCCUUUCUAA
RNAcentral lists this ribosomal RNA (89 nucleotides) under Planctomycetia bacterium. RNAcentral describes it as "partial 16S ribosomal RNA". It matches the Rfam family "Bacterial small subunit ribosomal RNA", at positions 1449 to 1533 of the family's 1533-position model. The record is from RNAcentral. Lineage: Bacteria; Pseudomonadati; Planctomycetota; Planctomycetia.